This 1055-nucleotide ribosomal RNA is filed under the name Salmonella enterica subsp. enterica serovar Typhimurium. RNAcentral's name for it is "partial 23S ribosomal RNA". It matches the Rfam family "Bacterial large subunit ribosomal RNA", at positions 669 to 1637 of the family's 2925-position model. Lineage: Bacteria; Pseudomonadati; Pseudomonadota; Gammaproteobacteria; Enterobacterales; Enterobacteriaceae. The record is from RNAcentral.
UAGGGAAACCGAGUCUUAACCGGGCGUUAAGUUGCAGGGUAUAGACCCGAAACCCGGUGAUCUAGCCAUGGGCAGGUUGAAGGUUGGGUAACACUAACUGGAGGACCGAACCGACUAAUGUUGAAAAAUUAGCGGAUGACCUGUGGCUGGGGGUGAAAGGCCAAUCAAACCGGGAGAUAGCUGGUUCUCCCCGAAAGCUAUUUAGGUAGCGCCUCGUGAAUUCAUCUCCGGGGGUAGAGCACUGUUUCGGCUAGGGGGCCAUCCCGGCUUACCAACCCGAUGCAAACUGCGAAUACCGGAGAAUGUUAUCACGGGAGACACACGGCGGGUGCUAACGUCCGUCGUGAAGAGGGAAACAACCCAGACCGCCAGCUAAGGUCCCAAAGUCAUGGUUAAGUGGGAAACGAUGUGGGAAGGCCCAGACAGCCAGGAUGUUGGCUUAGAAGCAGCCAUCAUUUAAAGAAAGCGUAAUAGCUCACUGGUCGAGUCGGCCUGCGCGGAAGAUGUAACGGGGCUAAACCAUGCACCGAAGCUGCGGCAGCGAACGUAUCACCCAAGACAACUUUACGGAGUUGACGAUUGACGGAGCGAAGCGACGUCAAAGCGUUCAUUAAAGUCGAGUUGGCUUAGGGAUACGUUCGUUGGGUAGGGGAGCGUUCUGUAAGCCUGUGAAGGUGUGUCGUGAGGCAUGCUGGAGGUAUCAGAAGUGCGAAUGCUGACAUAAGUAACGAUAAAGCGGGUGAAAAGCCCGCUCGCCGGAAGACCAAGGGUUCCUGUCCAACGUUAAUCGGGGCAGGGUGAGUCGACCCCUAAGGCGAGGCCGAAAGGCGUAGUCGAUGGGAAACGGGUUAAUAUUCCCGUACUUGGUGUUACUGCGAAGGGGGGACGGAGAAGGCUAUGUUGGCCGGGCGACGGUUGUCCCGGUUUAAGCGUGUAGGUGUGUGUUCCAGGUAAAUCCGGUUCACUUUAACACUGAGGCGUGACGACGAGGCACUACGGUGCUGAAGCAACAAAUGCCCUGCUUCCAGGAAAAGCCUCUAAGCAUCAGGUAACAC